RNAcentral lists this ribosomal RNA (496 nucleotides) under uncultured bacterium. RNAcentral's name for it is "bacterial SSU rRNA". It matches the Rfam family "Bacterial small subunit ribosomal RNA", at positions 899 to 1397 of the family's 1533-position model. The record is from RNAcentral.
ACUCAAAUGAAUUGACGGGGGCCCGCACAAGCGGAGGAGCAUGUGGUUUAAUUCGAUGAUACGCGAGGAACCUUACCCGGGCUUGAACGUGAGACGAAUAUAUAAGAGAUUAUAUAGCCUUCGGGCGUCUUGCGAGGUGCUGCAUGGUUGUCGUCAGCUCGUGCCGUGAGGUGUUAGGUUAAGUCCUGCAACGAGCGCAACCCCUACACUUAGUUGCCAGCAUGUCAUGAUGGGGACUCUAAGAGAACUGCCUACGCAAGUAGAGAGGAAGGUGGGGAUGACGUCAAAUCAGCACGGCCCUUAUGUCCGGGGCUACACACGUGCUACAAUGGUAUGUACAGAGGGCAGCCACCUGGUGACAGGGAGCAAAUCCUCAAAACAUAUCUCAGUUCGGAUUGGAGUCUGUAACUCGACUCUAUGAAGUCGGAUUCGCUAGUAAUCGCACAUCAGCCAUGGUGCGGUGAAUACGUUCCCGGGCCUUGUACACACCGCCCGU